This is a long non-coding RNA of Hibiscus syriacus, 149 nucleotides long. RefSeq lists it as uncharacterized. The transcript is spliced from 3 exons. Lineage: Eukaryota; Viridiplantae; Streptophyta; Magnoliopsida; Malvales; Malvaceae. The record is from RefSeq and is a predicted model, not a curated record.
UGAGAGUUUGAGACAACAUUAGUGAAUCUAAGUUGGAACAAUAUAGAAGCUUUCAUCCUCAACUUCAGUCCACAAAGAAGUGAGGGCUACAAUUAUAAUAAAAAAGAGGCCAAAAAACAUUUUAUAAGCCGUCUUCUUUCGUAUUCUCU